Long non-coding RNA from Ipomoea triloba (trilobed morning glory), 2236 nucleotides. RefSeq lists it as uncharacterized. NCBI's taxonomy places the organism in Eukaryota, Viridiplantae, Streptophyta, Magnoliopsida, Solanales, Convolvulaceae. The record is from RefSeq and is a predicted model, not a curated record. The transcript is spliced from 2 exons.
UCCUUAUGCCUUCUUCUUCAGACACAACUUGAGCCGCAUAUUUGAGCGAGCAGUCCAGUAGUACACAGCCUGCCUUACUGGAGUUACUGUCUCCGCCUCCAUCGUCAGCAACUCCGUCAACUGCCGGUUUGUCUAGUUCAAAUCAUUGAAUCCUUAAUCGUUUCUCUUCUUCAUUUAUGUUUGGAUAUUGAAUUUUUGGUAAAAAAAAAUAAUUCUUGGAGACUCUGAGUUCAAAUUCAGGGUAUUUUGCUCAGUUGCUCCCCCUAAGAAUUUCAAGGAUAUUGUUUUGCCAUUUAUCACUCCUUCUUUGCUUUCUCAAUUGACAGUGAGAGCAAACAAAUUUUUUAUUAUAAUACUAGAAAUUUAAUAUAAGAACCUAGCUAAGUUUUGUUUGGUUUUUCUUCCCCAGUUUUAUGAUAAUCUUGUGCUAUUAUUUAUGCAAAUUAACCAUUAUUUGAUGAUAAUUUGCUUGGUUUUGCUUUAGAUAUGGACUUGACUUUGUAGUUGAUAGGGAAUUAAUGUAAUUGGGGAAAGUAGUAUAUUCUAUUUAUUGAGAAAUUGAUGUGAGUAAAGAAGUGAGGGUUUAUAAUAUAUCUUGUGUUUAAACCGUUAUAUUGGUACUCCCGAAUGGCUUGGUGAUAAGCAAAAUAAGUAUAGUUGUUAUAAGCGGUGCUAAAUGCUUCAUUGUAUAUCUUUGCUCCUCUACUUUGUGGCUUACUGAUACACUGGAUAGCAAGUAAUGAUGUCUGGUGUUGCACAGUAACACAAGGAGUGAAUAUAAUGUGUGUUAAACAUUGGAUUACAUGUGGAUUACAGAUUAGCUAUGAAUAAGAUUCUGCAUAGGAUUGAUUUGAUAGUGUUGGCUUCGAAAAUUACAAAUGUCAAGUACUUGGAUUAUAGAUUUCACUAAAGCUCGGGCUUCGAUUAUAUCAGAAAUGACCCCUGCCAGAAUUCCUCCAAUGAGCAACCCAUAGUUUAUCUGUUAAAACUCAACUCAGAUUUGAGAUCCUUUCUAAUUUGUUUGGAAUAGAUGUGUUAUUUGGAAAGCUUCAAUCCUUUACUACUCAAAUAUCCUUUCUAAUUUAUUUGUUAAAUCUUUUUUCUCAAAACUGAAGCCAUGACAAAUGUACAGCUUGUGUAGUAAAGGGAAAAAAAAAUUAUACACACCAAUUGUGGUAAUAAACCAACAUCACAGUUAUGCUUUUCUUUGUAAUCUAGUUUAAUGUGAUAGGUAAGUAGAGUUACAAUUCAUUAACUCAUGCAAGCAUAAUUUUUUCUCCCAUUUGGUUGAGAUUUCUAUCCAAUAGGGUUCCCUAUUUGUAUCUUUUAGAUCUUUUCUGUAUCAUGAAAGACUAUGAUUUGGUAUAACAAUUUUUUAUAAUUCAUCUUAAAAGUCAACUGAAAUGAAUGAAAUUGUUUGAAAAAGUAUAGAACAUAUACUCCCUUGUAAAAAAAUCUUGAGUAUUUCAAAAAAAGAAAAAAGAAAAAAAAAAGAAGGAAUCGGUUGGUAUUGUGUGAGACAUUCUAAUGUGAAAUGGAUCUCAAAUAUGUAAUACUUUUAUAUGGGUAAGCAAGAUUGUUAGUCCUUGUUUCACUGCAAUGCUAAUCUUAUUUUACAUUUGACUUUUGUCUCUUCUUUUCUAUAACAAGAUUAGUGCUUAUAUUUGGAUUCUUAAGUUGGCUUUAAAAUAUAAUAGGAAUAUAGGAUUCUAAUCCUCUUAAUAUUUACUGAUUUUUUUGGGUGUUUGAAACUUUAGAUGCCAUCAGGUGAUUAAUUGACUUAUUCUCUAGAUUAUGGUUUCAAUGCAUUAGUCAAUAGUCAUAUGCAUUAUUUUGCAAUUAGUUUAAAAGUUGGGGUGUGAUGCGGGUCAAUUCACACAUGACUCAUUAAGAGUUCUUAAUAUUUUAUUGGGCCAUCUUAAGGCAACUAUACACUAGGUUUGUGAAACAGUGGUGGAAGAGUCAUGAAAGCUCAAAUGCUCAAGGAGUCCAAUCAGUGAUGGUGAAUAUUUAAAGUAUUUUAAUUGCAUUCAAGCUGAUUUGGUCAUUUGAAAGAGCCCUAAUCACUACUUAGAUUAGGAAAAUUGUUUCAUAUUUAAAUUGUUACCUUUAUUGCUUUUCUUAUUAGAUUUUAGAAGGAUUCUAUCACAUGCCACUUUCACCCAUAAAAGGAGUGUAUGUGUUUUGAUUUUAAAGAGUUAAGUUAUCAAUAAAAAUUCAUAACGUUUUCUUUGCA